Homo sapiens (human) is the source of this 306-nucleotide long non-coding RNA. RefSeq lists it as uncharacterized. The record is from RefSeq and is a predicted model, not a curated record. The transcript is spliced from 3 exons. Lineage: Eukaryota; Metazoa; Chordata; Mammalia; Primates; Hominidae.
GGAAGAGUUCUGAAAAGAUCUCUGAGGGCUGGAAGUGCUAAGGACAAUUUCAUAAAGAAGCUACAAUGUAAUGAAGCUAGAAAGGAAUAACAGUGAGAAAUAGAAAAAAAACUACAAACGUGAAAACUAAACAGCACACUCUUCAGCAAUCAUUGAAUCAAAGGGGAAAUCAAAAGGAAAUUUUAAAAAUAUCUCAAGACAAACGAAAAUGCAAGUGCAACACACUUAAGUGUAUGGCAUGCAGCAAAAGAAGGGAGUUCUAAAAGAUGGGGUCUUGCUAUGUUGGCCAAGGUAGUCUUGAAGUCC